UUGUCCCUUUGGCAGCAUAUAUACUAAAUUUGGAAUAAUACAGAGAAGAUUAGCAAAGGCCCCUGUGCAAUAAUGACAUGCAAAUUCCUGAAGUGUUCCAUAUUAAA
This 107-nucleotide small nuclear RNA is filed under the name Chinchilla lanigera (long-tailed chinchilla). The record is from RNAcentral. Lineage: Eukaryota; Metazoa; Chordata; Mammalia; Rodentia; Chinchillidae.